GCAAACUUGGUCAUUUAGAGGAAGUAAAAGUCGUAACAAGGUUUCCGUAGGUGAACCUGCGGAAGGAUCAUUAAAGAGAUUUAAUUUGGGAAUUAAAUAUUUAAAUAUUAAUUUUCCAAAGUUAUCUGAACUUGUGGUAAUAAUGAAAAUGAUAUUGGGAUUAAACAUGGUGGGUCUAUUGGUAAGAUUAUUAUUAAGAUUAUUAGUAGAGUACCGGCCCAAAAAAUAUUGAUAAACUCUUUUUAUAAUUGACUGAAAUCAAGUUAAAAAUAAUCCAAUUUUUUGGAUUAAAAAAAAGUUUUAAACAACUUUCAACAACGGAUCUCUUGGUUCUCGCAUCGAUGAAGAACGCAGC
RNAcentral lists this unclassified non-coding RNA (355 nucleotides) under uncultured fungus. RNAcentral's name for it is "partial contains small subunit ribosomal RNA, internal transcribed spacer 1, and 5.8S ribosomal RNA". The stretch from base 1 to 73 matches the Rfam family "Eukaryotic small subunit ribosomal RNA", at positions 1759 to 1831 of the family's 1831-position model. Lineage: Eukaryota; Fungi. The record is from RNAcentral.